CCAUAAGAUAUGUUCUCGCAGUGAGCCACGGUGCUAAGGUCCGUGGACGAGAGAGGGAGAACUCAGACCAUCAGCUAAGGCCCCCAAAUCUAUGCUAAGUUGAUCUAACGAAGUUGGGUCGCAUUGACAGCCAGGAUGUUUGCUUGGAAGCAGCCAUUCAUUUAAAGAGUGCGUAACAGCUCACUGGUCGAGCGACCCGGCGUGGAUGAUACUCGGGCAUCAAGCAUAGUGCCGAAGCUAUGGAAUACAGCAAUGUAUUGGUAGGGGAGCAUUCUAAUAACGUAGAAGGAGUAGCGUAAGCACUACUGGAGUGAUUAGAAAAGCAAAUGUAGGUAUAAGUAACGAUAAGGCUGGCGAGAAACCAGCCCGCCGAUAGACUAAGGUUUCCUGAACAACGCUAAUCGGUUCAGGGUCAGUCGGGACCUAAGGCGAAGCCGAACGGCGUAGUCGAUGGACAACUGGUUAAUAUUC
This 471-nucleotide ribosomal RNA is filed under the name uncultured bacterium. RNAcentral's name for it is "bacterial LSU rRNA". It matches the Rfam family "Bacterial large subunit ribosomal RNA", at positions 963 to 1438 of the family's 2925-position model. The record is from RNAcentral.